This 356-nucleotide transfer-messenger RNA is filed under the name Acidobacteriota bacterium. It matches the Rfam family "transfer-messenger RNA". Rfam says of the family: Bacterial tmRNA, also known as 10Sa RNA or SsrA, is named for its dual tRNA and mRNA-like properties. Its role is to liberate the mRNA from a stalled ribosome. Lineage: Bacteria; Pseudomonadati; Acidobacteriota. The record is from RNAcentral.
GGGGGCGCAACGGAUUCGACGGGAUUGCAUCCGUCGUGGGAAGUCGUGCCGGGUUCCGAGCUCCCGUAAAACGAUCGGAAAACAACAACUGCCAAUAAUCAGCAGUUCGCUUACGCUGCUUAAUUAAUUAAGUAGCCGCUCUGAGGUCGUGGGCCUGCACCGGCCUUGAGAGCGUCAUCUUGCAGGAUAGGCCUAAAGCUUCCGUCUGGAGCCGAAAGCCGAGAUCAAUCAGGCUAAGCCAUCCCCCUCUUGCCGGUUCCGCAUGGGGUGGUCGAAAAAUACCGAACCGGAAACGCACGUAGUCUUUUUGCGAUUGACUUUCUCGGACGCGGGUUCAACUCCCGCCGCCUCCACCA